AUUGAACGCUGGCGGCAGGCCUAACACAUGCAAGUCGAACGAGUGGCGGACGGGUGAGUAAUGUCUUGGAAACUGCCUGAUGGAGGGGGCUAACUACUGGAAACGGUAUCUAAUACCGCAUCCCAUCGGAUGUGCCCAGAUGGGAUUAGCUAGUAGGUGGGGUAAAGGCUCACCUAGGCGACGAUCCCUAGCUGGUCUGAGAGGAUGACCAGCCACACUGGAACUGAGACACGGUCCAGACUCCUACGGGAGGCAGCAGUGGGGAAUAUUGCACAAUGGGCGCAAGCCUGAUGCAGCCAUGCCGCGUGUAUGAAGAAGGCCUUCGGGUUGUAAAGUACUUUUAGCGGGGAGGCGUUAUCCGCAGAAGAAGCAACGGCUAACUACGUGCCAGCAGCCGCGGUAAUUC
RNAcentral lists this ribosomal RNA (406 nucleotides) under uncultured bacterium. Its description in RNAcentral is "partial 16S ribosomal RNA". It matches the Rfam family "Bacterial small subunit ribosomal RNA", at positions 30 to 526 of the family's 1533-position model. The record is from RNAcentral.